This is a long non-coding RNA of Sinocyclocheilus grahami, 382 nucleotides long. RefSeq lists it as uncharacterized. Lineage: Eukaryota; Metazoa; Chordata; Actinopteri; Cypriniformes; Cyprinidae. The transcript is spliced from 3 exons. The record is from RefSeq and is a predicted model, not a curated record.
UGGACAGAAGGGUUUUUAUAAAGGUGUACAAAACACAUCUCUGUUCAUUUCUCCAGUCCAUAGGGGGGGCGCUGCUGUGCCUCAUGCCAGCAAUUUACACGUCAGUGCUUGCUUCACAAAACAGAAAAAAAGGAAACAAAAACUGAAAGAAUUAUUUCAGUCGAUUUUGACCGCAGCAUAAAUUUUCCGUAUGAACACAUAAGAGGCAUAGAAGCCAAUCGUUCCCGUUAGCAGCCAGAAAGACAAAACCAUCAGGGUUGUGUAGCCAAAAUACAACAGAGAGGGAAUGAACUCCACAAUGUCCAGCUGGGAGGGAAAAAGAAAGAAAGAAAGAAUGUAAAUGUUGAGUACCUCAAAACAGAGAUAAAUGUGUUAUUGGAUA